GAGUUUGAUUCUGGCUCAGGACGAACGCUGGCGGCGUGCCUAAUACAUGCAAGUGGAACGCAUUGAUUUCACCGGAGCUUGCUCCACCGAAAUUAGUGAGUCGCGAACGGGUGAGUAACGCGUAGGUAACCUACCUCUUAGCGGGGGAUAACUAUUGGAAACGAUAGCUAAUACCGCAUAACAAUAGGAUACACAUGUACCCUAUUUAAAAGGAGCAACUGCUUCACUAAGAGAUGGACCUGCGUUGUAUUAGCUAGUUGGUAGGGUAACGGCCUACCAAGGCAUCGAUACAUAGCCGACCUGAGAGGGUGAUCGGCCACACUGGGACUGAGACACGGCCCAGACUCCUACGGGAGGCAGCAGUAUGGGAAUCUUCGGCAAUGGGGGGAACCCUGACCGAGCAACCGCCGCGUGAGUGAAGAAGGUUUUCGGAUCGUAAAGCUCUGUUGUAAGAGAAGAACGUGUGAGAGAGUGGAAAGUUCUCACAGUGACGUAACU
Molecule: ribosomal RNA, 498 nt
Filed under: Streptococcus minor
Lineage: Bacteria; Bacillati; Bacillota; Bacilli; Lactobacillales; Streptococcaceae
Description: bacterial SSU rRNA
Rfam family: Bacterial small subunit ribosomal RNA
Source: RNAcentral